GAAAUGCGAUACUUGGUGUGAAUUGCAGAAUCCCGUGAACCAUCAAAUCUUUGAACGCACAUUGCACUCUCUUUCGGGAGAGUAUGCCUGUUUGAGAAUCUAUAGUAUUUAUUUGUCUGUAUUUCGAAAGUUAUGCAGGCGAGAUCUGAGUGCUGACGUUAACAGCGUCUUACUUGAAAUUUAUAGCCGGAUUGCUAGUUCAGUUAUGAACCGAUACAGCCAGCGAAAAGUGAUGAACGAGACCUCGUCUCCUUUGAACUUAGUAGCAAGCAAUAUUAGGGAGCUGAGCUUUAAUCUAUGCCCAAAUAUAAAGAGGCGACUUUUAUUAGUUGUUUCUUGAACCAUGGUCUCAAAUCAGGUAGGAAGACCCGCUGAACUUAA
RNAcentral lists this unclassified non-coding RNA (381 nucleotides) under uncultured fungus. RNAcentral's name for it is "sequence contains ITS1". The stretch from base 1 to 101 matches the Rfam family "5.8S ribosomal RNA", at positions 50 to 154 of the family's 154-position model. Lineage: Eukaryota; Fungi. The record is from RNAcentral.